GACGAACGCUGGCGGCGUGCCUAAUACAUGCAAGUCGAACGCACUCUCGUUUAGAUUGAAGGAGUUUGCUCCUGAUUGAUAAACAUUUGAGUGAGUGGCGGACGGGUGAGUAACACGUGGGUAACCUGCCCUAAAGUGGGGGAUAACAUUUGGAAACAGAUGCUAAUACCGCAUAAAACCUAACACCGCAUGGUGUAGGGUUGAAAGAUGGUUUCGGCUAUCACUUUAGGAUGGACCCGCGGUGCAUUAGUUAGUUGGUGAGGUAAAGGCUCACCAAGACCGUGAUGCAUAGCCGACCUGAGAGGGUAAUCGGCCACACUGGGACUGAGACACGGCCCAGACUCCUACGGGAGGCAGCAGUAGGGAAUCUUCCACAAUGGACGAAAGUCUGAUGGAGCAACGCCGCGUGAGUGAAGAAGGUUUGCGGAUCGUAAAACUCUGUUGUUGGAGAAGAAUGUAUCUGAUAGUAACUGAUCAGGUAGUGACGGGAUCCAACCAGAAAGCCACGGCUAACUACGU
This 519-nucleotide ribosomal RNA is filed under the name uncultured bacterium. Its description in RNAcentral is "partial 16S ribosomal RNA". It matches the Rfam family "Bacterial small subunit ribosomal RNA", at positions 28 to 506 of the family's 1533-position model. The record is from RNAcentral.